UGCUCCCUGCAGGAGAAGCAUGGACAGAUUUGUAUGCGCUGGCUCUUCACCGCUGCACUAACUGCACUAUACAUAACAGCACAGGAUAUUCUUUUUUUCCACCCCGAAGGAUAAGCUUUAUCAGCGGACACUGCUUUGCUUCGAGUUUCCAGCGCUUUGUUUUUAGAAAGAAGGAUAACCAGCGUCAACUCAAGUGGCUCGAUCACCAGUUGUAGCCUGUAUAUUAUCUCCGCGGUUUUCUUUUCUCCACCGUGCGCAGCGAAAAGCCUUAAAAGUUUUACGGACUCGCCGGUAUGGAUCACUUCUGCUUUUAAGGGACACACACGUGCAGCAGCGUUGGUAUCAUUUUGGAGAAGGCCUCGCCCUCUAGUGGACUCUAUGGGUACAGUGGGUGGAGCCCGAUGAAUGGACACCCUGUUUGCGACAUAACAUCGACCCAGCCACACUGAUCCUGAACAGCUAAAGAUUGACGCCCAGUGAUGCCAGGACAGUGAGCAUCAUAAUGCAUGGCACGUGGUCAGGGGCCACGCCCCUCCUCAUAAUGGUUCUGCUCAGGAUGACACAGGGCCAGGAGGUUC
Molecule: non-coding RNA, 578 nt
Organism: Epinephelus lanceolatus (giant grouper)
Lineage: Eukaryota; Metazoa; Chordata; Actinopteri; Perciformes; Serranidae
Source: RefSeq, a predicted model, not a curated record